GGCACUGUGCAGUGCACACCUGAAAGUUGGCAAGGUGAUGGAGAAACUGGUUGAACUGACUGAAGCUGUGGAGAACAGAUUGGCUGCAGGAGCAGUAACAUCAGCGACUCUGCAGCAGAUUCCUACAACCCAUCUCAUGAGGUAAAAAGGAUCCACAGGAGUCUGGAGGAUGGGCACAAAUACAGAGGAAAUGAGAGAUUCAUGUCUGAGCACAACUCCGGUGGCACAAAUUCAAUGUUGUGGUCAAUUGCAGAUGAAGAGGAAUGUGACACCUCUUUGAUCAGAAGAGCAACAGAUACUUUGAGAACAUCAGGAGGGAAUCUAAGUUGUCAGAAGACAAAGUGGAAGAGGAUCGGAGGGCCAAAGCUCUCAACAACCGAAGACAUAGAGUGAGUUGAAUCACUUAUAGAUUUGUUUAUUUUUAAGAUCCUUUAGAAUGCAUCAGAUUUCUGAUUUGCUUUUGUAUCACAUUACAUUGUUGUAGUCAGCAGUUUUAUCUCUGGAUACAACAACUGAAAUGUGUUGUAUGAACUGUGCAUAAAGAUGAAGUUUCUGGCAGUGCAGAGGCAGUAAAAAAUGUUUUAUUAUGUUCAUUUUUUAAUGUAUACAUUUAAAGUGUUCUCAUUGACCUAUAAAUGUCAUUCUCCAUUGAGAGUAAUAUCUAAUGUUUUCUGUUAAAGCUUUUCAAUUCACGCCGA
Molecule: long non-coding RNA, 698 nt
Organism: Melanotaenia boesemani (Boeseman's rainbowfish)
Lineage: Eukaryota; Metazoa; Chordata; Actinopteri; Atheriniformes; Melanotaeniidae
Exons: 4
Source: RefSeq, a predicted model, not a curated record